This 380-nucleotide ribosomal RNA is filed under the name uncultured soil bacterium. RNAcentral describes it as "bacterial SSU rRNA". It matches the Rfam family "Bacterial small subunit ribosomal RNA", at positions 26 to 405 of the family's 1533-position model. The record is from RNAcentral.
AGAUUGAACGCUGGCGGCAUGCUUUACACAUGCAAGUCGAACGGCAGCACUGGGGCAACCCUGGUGGCGAGUGGCGAACGGGUGAGUAAUAUAUCGGAACGUACCCGGAAAUGGGGGAUAACGUAGCGAAAGUUACGCUAAUACCGCAUAUGCCCUGAGGGGGAAAGCGGGGGAUUCGCAAGAACCUCGCGUUUUCGGAGCGGCCGAUAUCGGAUUAGCUAGUAGGUGAGGUAAAGGCUCACCUAGGCGACGAUCCGUAGCUGGUCUGAGAGGACGACCAGCCACACUGGAACUGAGACACGGUCCAGACCUCCUACGGGAGCAGCAGUGGGGAAUUUGGACAAGUGGGCGCAAGCCUGAUCCAGCCAUCGCCGCGUGAG